Molecule: unclassified non-coding RNA, 1208 nt
Filed under: Hevea brasiliensis (rubber tree)
Lineage: Eukaryota; Viridiplantae; Streptophyta; Magnoliopsida; Malpighiales; Euphorbiaceae
Source: RNAcentral
GCCUCAUUCAAAGCUUGUCUCUCGACCAAAAGUAAAGGAAUUUCCUGUUGCACCUUCAUAUUCAAACCUUCAUAAAAUUCUCGUAUCUCAAAGUAAAGAGGUUGGCAUUCAUGAGUAUCCAUUAUUGCAGAGUCAAGGCACUCAAGACAUAGCUUUCGACCAUCAUCAAGGGAUAGAUAUCUUGUGUCUCUGGACUCCAUUCUUUCACAACUGCAGCACCUAGGAGUCCCAUCACGCUCAUGUGAGGGGCAAUAUUUUUGUUUCCAGAAAGGAUGUGCUCUAUACUCGAUGAGACCAGAUGAAUUUGUUGGAAUAUUGUUGUUGCAGACAUCACAUCUUGGGUGAUGGCGCUCGUUAUGGCAGGAUUUGUGGUAAGGACGAUUCUUGGACAUAGAAAACUCGGGAUCAGUAAUUGGCUGAUUGCAAGCAUCGCAACGGAAGCAUUCAGGAUGCCAAACUGCACCCAUGCAAUUUAGAUAGCGUCCACGACCAAUUUCAGUAUUGCACCCAGCGCAAAUCCUAUAGCCAGAUGGAAAGAGAAAUGGAUAAGGUGAAAUCGCAUUUCCAAAAUCAUAUUGUGACUCAUUUAAACUUUCUUGAAGAGCUUUAGCAAGUUGUUCAUCCUCCUCUAGUUGAGCUCUCACAUGCCUUUCAUCUUCCUCAGCCCUCACACACCUUUCAGCUUCCUCUGCUCUUGCACGCCUUUCAGCUUCCUCUGCUCUUGCACGCCCUUCAGCUUCCUCUGACUGAGAGGAGCCAUCAUCUUCCUCUGCAAUGACCUUUUUCCCUUUUUGAUCUUGUUCUGAAAGAGAAAGUGCAAUAGCACAAUCAAUAUCUUCUCUGUCAAAAUCUGAUACAUCAUCCACUGAAUGGUGAGGCUCAUCCCAAUAUCUAUCUUCUGCAUACUUCCCAAGAUACUGCCCUUUAUAGCUAGAAACUCUUAAAAUUUUGGUUAGCCAACCCAUCGCUUUUCAAUAUCAGUCCAGCAAAUUUUGUCCUGAAACUAAUCAAGGAUUUGCAGAAACAAUAGAAUCUCAUGAAUCCGAGAUCAGAUAAAUCACCCGAUCCCCAAGAAUGCACAAUCAAGAAAAGAAAAUUACAUGACAUAAGAAAGCAUAUUCGCCAUCAUUUGUAGCAGCAAACAAUCCUGCAAAAUACAUAAAACUUUAUUGACAAAAUAAAAAGUUCACCCAUCAGAUAAAAAGAAU